CCUACGGGAGGCAGCAGUGAGGAAUAUUGGUCAAUGGACGAGAGUCUGAACCAGCCAAGUAGCGUGAAGGAUGACGGCCCUAUGGGUUGUAAACUUCUUUUAUAUGGGAAUAAAACUGAGUAUGCAUACCCUCUUGUAUGUACCAUAUGAAUAAGGAUCGGCUAACUCCGUGCCAGCAGCCGCGGUAAUACGGAGGGUCCGAGCGUUAUCCGGAUUUAUUGGGUUUAAAGGGAGCGUAGGUGGAUUGUUAAGUCAGUUGUGAAAGUUUGGGGCUUAACCGUAAAAUUGCAGUUGAAACUGGCAGUCGUGAGUACAGUAGAGGUAGGCGGAAGGCGUGGUGUAGCGGUGAAAUGCUUAGAUAUCACGAAGAACUCCGAUUGCGAAGGCAGCUCACUGGACUACAACUGACGCUGAGGCUCGAAAGUGUGGGGAUCAAACAGGAUUAGAUACCCCAGUAGUC
Molecule: ribosomal RNA, 460 nt
Filed under: uncultured bacterium
Lineage: Bacteria
Description: partial 16S ribosomal RNA
Rfam family: Bacterial small subunit ribosomal RNA
Source: RNAcentral